CUCAGUNCGGCGAGUGAAGCGGCAAGCUCAAAUUUGAAAUCUGGGGGUCCGAGUUGUAAUUUGCAGAGAGUGUUUCGGGCGAGGCCGCGGGCUAAGUCCAUUGGAACAUGGUGUCAUAGAGGGUGAGAAUCCCGUAUGCGACCGUGGUCCGAGCCCAUGUGAAGCCUCUUCGACGAGUCGAGUUGUUUGGGAAUGCAGCUCUAAAUGGGUGGUAAAUUUCAUCUAAAGCUAAAUACUGGCUGGAGACCGAUAGCGCACAAGUAGAGUGAUCGAAAGAUGAAAAGCACUUUGAAAAGAGAGUUAAAAAGUACGUGAAAUUGUUGAAAGGGAAGCGCUUGCGACCAGACCUGCCCGUAGGUGAUCAGCCCCUGUUCUCAGGGGUGCACUCGCUCUACGAUCAGGCCAGCAUCGGUUUGGGCGGUCGGAUACAGGCCUUGGGAAUGUAGCUUCCUUUCGGGGGAGUCUUAUAGCCCUCGGUGCAAUGCGGCCAGCCGGGACCGAGGACCGCGCUUCGGCUAGGAUGCUGGCGUAAUGGUUGUAAGCGACCCGUCUUGAAACACGGACCAAGGAGUCUAACAUCUAUGCGAGUGUUUGGGUGUCAAACCCAUGCGCGGAAUGAAAGUGAACGGAGGUGAGAACCCUUAAGGGUGCAUCAUCGACCGAUCCAGAUGUCUUCGGAUGGAUUUGAGUAUGAGCAUAGCUGUUGGGACCCGAAAGAUGGUGAACUAUGCCUGAAUAGGG
This 741-nucleotide ribosomal RNA is filed under the name Canoparmelia texana. Its description in RNAcentral is "partial large subunit ribosomal RNA". It matches the Rfam family "Eukaryotic large subunit ribosomal RNA", at positions 79 to 846 of the family's 3401-position model. The record is from RNAcentral. Lineage: Eukaryota; Fungi; Ascomycota; Lecanoromycetes; Lecanorales; Parmeliaceae.